AGCUUUGUGCAGUGGCAAUAUCGUAGCCAAUGAGGUUUAUCCGAGGCACGAUUAUUGGUAAUUGAAAACUUUUCCCAAUAAAU
RNAcentral lists this small nuclear RNA (83 nucleotides) under Tupaia belangeri (northern tree shrew). RNAcentral describes it as "U4 spliceosomal RNA (ENSTBEG00000019530.1)". It matches the Rfam family "U4 spliceosomal RNA", at positions 1 to 83 of the family's 138-position model. From Rfam's summary of the family: U4 small nuclear RNA (U4 snRNA) is a component of the major U2-dependent spliceosome. The record is from RNAcentral. Lineage: Eukaryota; Metazoa; Chordata; Mammalia; Scandentia; Tupaiidae.